CAGUCGCCACGGUAAAACGUAGGUCCCGAGCGUUGUCCGGAUUUAUUGGGCGUAAAGCGAGCGCAGGCGGAUCGGUCAGUCUGUCUUAAAAGUUCGGGGCUUAACCCCGUGAUGGGAUGGAAACUGCCAAUCUAGAGUAUCGGAGAGGAAAGUGGAAUUCCUAGUGUAGCGGCGAAAUGCGUAGAUAUUAGGAAGAACACCAGUGGCGAAGGCGACUUUCUGGACGAAAACUGACGCUGAGGCGCGAAAGCCAGGGGAGCAAACAGGAUUAGAUACCCCUGUAGUCCCUGUCUCUUAUACA
Molecule: ribosomal RNA, 301 nt
Filed under: uncultured bacterium
Lineage: Bacteria
Description: partial 16S ribosomal RNA
Rfam family: Bacterial small subunit ribosomal RNA
Source: RNAcentral